AACGCGAAGAACCUUACCUGGGCUCGAAAUGUAGUGGACUGGGGUAGAAAUAUCCCUUCCUAGCAAUAGGUCGCUAUAUAGGUGCUGCAUGGCUGUCGUCAGCUCGUGUCGUGAGAUGUUGGGUUAAGUCCCGCAACGAGCGCAACCCUUAUCCCUAGUUGCCAUCGGGUCAAGCCGGGCACUCUAGUGAAACUGCCUGGGAUAACCAGGAGGAAGGUGGGGAUGACGUCAAGUCUUCAUGGCCUUUAUGUCCAGGGCUACACACGUGCUACAAUGGUCGGUACAAACCGUCGCAAACCCGUGAGGGGGAGCUAAUCGGAAAAAGCCGACCUCAGUUCGGAUUGGAGUCUGCAACUCGACUCCAUGAAGCUGGAAUCGCUAGUAAUCGCGGAUCAGAACGCCGCGGUGAAUACGUUCCCGGGCCUUGUACACACCGACUGUAC
RNAcentral lists this ribosomal RNA (443 nucleotides) under uncultured bacterium. RNAcentral's name for it is "bacterial SSU rRNA". It matches the Rfam family "Bacterial small subunit ribosomal RNA", at positions 958 to 1399 of the family's 1533-position model. The record is from RNAcentral.